GCGCCCGUAGCUCAGUUGGAUAGAGUACCUGGCUUCGAACCAGGUGGUCGGGAGUUCGAAUCUCUCCGGGCGCG
This 74-nucleotide transfer RNA is filed under the name Priapulus caudatus. RNAcentral describes it as "tRNA-Arg". It matches the Rfam family "tRNA". Rfam says of the family: Transfer RNA (tRNA) molecules are approximately 80 nucleotides in length. Lineage: Eukaryota; Metazoa; Priapulida; Priapulimorpha; Priapulimorphida; Priapulidae. RNAcentral also lists the same sequence under 6 other names. The record is from RNAcentral.